CUAUAUAUACCCUGUAGAACCGAAUUUGUGUGAUCAAACCACAGUCACAGAUUCGAUUCUAGGGGAGUAUAUGGU
RNAcentral lists this microRNA precursor (75 nucleotides) under Dicentrarchus labrax (European seabass). RNAcentral's name for it is "mir-10 microRNA precursor family". It matches the Rfam family "mir-10 microRNA precursor family". From Rfam's summary of the family: In this case the mature sequence comes from the 5' arm of the precursor. The extents of the hairpin precursors are not generally known and are estimated based on hairpin prediction. The products are thought to have regulatory roles through complementarity to mRNA. Lineage: Eukaryota; Metazoa; Chordata; Actinopteri; Moronidae. RNAcentral also lists the same sequence under 2 other names. The record is from Rfam by way of RNAcentral.